AGCCUUUUUUUGUUCAUAAACAUUAUAAUUAAGUAUUCAAAUCAUUGUGUGACACAAACCUCCCUCAAGCCUUAAAAUGUGUGGUACAUUACCAACUUGACA
Small nucleolar RNA from Meriones unguiculatus (Mongolian gerbil), 102 nucleotides. RefSeq annotates it as small nucleolar RNA U13. The record is from RefSeq and is a predicted model, not a curated record. NCBI's taxonomy places the organism in Eukaryota, Metazoa, Chordata, Mammalia, Rodentia, Muridae. The transcript has a single exon.